Molecule: transfer RNA, 64 nt
Organism: Cavia porcellus (domestic guinea pig)
Lineage: Eukaryota; Metazoa; Chordata; Mammalia; Rodentia; Caviidae
Rfam family: tRNA
About the family: Transfer RNA (tRNA) molecules are approximately 80 nucleotides in length. Their secondary structure includes four short double-helical elements and three loops (D, anti-codon, and T loops). Further hydrogen bonds mediate the characteristic L-shaped molecular structure. tRNAs have two regions of fundamental functional importance: the anti-codon, which is responsible for specific mRNA codon recognition, and the 3' end, to which the tRNAs corresponding amino acid is attached (by aminoacyl-tRNA synthetases). tRNAs cope with the degeneracy of the genetic code in two manners: having more than one tRNA (with a specific anti-codon) for a particular amino acid; and 'wobble' base-pairing, i.e. permitting non-standard base-pairing at the 3rd anti-codon position.
Source: Rfam
GGGGAUUUAGCUCAGCGGCAUAAGCACCUGCCUUGUAAGCAGGGGGUCGUGAGUUCAAUCCCCG